RNAcentral lists this ribosomal RNA (316 nucleotides) under uncultured archaeon. RNAcentral's name for it is "bacterial SSU rRNA". It matches the Rfam family "Archaeal small subunit ribosomal RNA", at positions 333 to 649 of the family's 1478-position model. The record is from RNAcentral.
CAGCAGGCGCGAAAACUUUACAAUGCGGGAAACCGUGAUAAGGGGACACCGAGUGCCAGCAUCAUAUGCUGGCUGUCCGGGUGUGUAAAAUACACCUGUUAGCAAGGGCCGGGCAAGACCGGUGCCAGCCGCCGCGGUAACACCGGCGGCCCGAGUGGUGAUCGUGAUUAUUGGGUCUAAAGGGUCCGUAGCCGGUUUGGUCAGUCCUCCGGGAAAUCUGAUAGCUCAACUAUUAGGCUUUCGGAGGAUACUGCCAGACUUGAAACCGGGAGAGGUAAGAGGUACUACAGGGGUAGGAGUGAAAUCCUGUAAUCCA